UGGCAGCUGCGGGGGCAGACGUCGGAGGCAGGCGGAGCCCUGGACCCCACUCCCACCCUCGGACACGAAAGAUGAGUGCUUCCGAGUGCCAGCCUGAGCAGAUGGGGUACCUCCGCCAGCUGACCACAGCAGUGCUGUCCGUGUCCUUCGCCAUGGGUGUGCUGGGCAACGGGCUGGUGCUGUGGAUGACCGUCUUCCGAAUGGCCCGGACCGUCACCACCAUCUGGUUCUUCAACCUGGCCCUUGCUGAUUUCUCGGGCUUGCUGUUCCUGCCCAUCGCCAUCCACAAUGUUGCCUUCGGCCAGUGGCCCCUCGACAAUCUGGUCUGCAAGCUCUACAUGGCCUUUCUGGCCCUGAACCUCUUCGCCAGCAUCUACUUCCUGGUCCUUAUCUCCGUGGACCGUUGCCUCUCUGUUCUCUACCCUGUCUGGGCCCGAAACCACCGCACCGCACGACGGGCCAGUUGGCUGGCCCUCGGUGUGUGGCUCCUGGCUGCCACGGCGUGCUCUCCCUACCUGAAAUUCCGGGCCACUGGAAAAGUGAAUGGAUGUGACUACUGCUACUUCAAGUUCAACUUACAGAACGAGGUCACCCGGGAUGGGGAGCCAACGUCUUGGAAGGGACAGAUGGCCGUGGCCAUCACUCACUUCCUGCUGGGCUUCUUGGUGCCCUUGGUGAUCAUUGGCACCUGUGCCCACCUCAUCCAGGCCAAGCUCCGGCAGGUAGGCUGGGUCCAUAGCAGCAGGCCGAAGAGAAUGCUGUUGGUGCUAGUGAAUGCCUUCUUCCUCUUCUGGUUCCCAUUCAACAUGGCGCUCCUGGUCCAGUCAGGGCUACUGAUGAUGCAAAAGCAAUCCCACUGGCCUAAGAUGAUGCUCGUCCUGUGGGCUGCCUUCUCCCUGGGCUGCCUCAACAGCUGCCUCAACCCCUUUCUUUAUGUCUUUAUUGGCAGAGAUUUCCAAGAAAAAUUUUUUCAGUCUUUGCCUUCUGCCCUGGCCAGAGCGUUUGGCGAUGAGGGAUUCAUCAAUCAUCCUGUCCCAGAGAUGAAGUCUCCAGAGGACAAUGGGAACCUCCGAGUAGCAGCUGGAAAUCUCCCUCCAUAGCUUGCAAACCCUAACUUAGGCCGGCUUCCAAGGAUCUGCCUCUUCUUUAGGAAGUCGCCCCAGCAGUCCCUCACCUAAGGGACAGCUAGCAACCACUGUGGCAAGCCACAUGGGAAGCUAUGUGUCCCCAAGGAGAGCCCAUGCC
This is an RNA transcript of Marmota flaviventris (yellow-bellied marmot), 1245 nucleotides long. It is a transcript of the gene named G protein-coupled receptor 32, with no coding region annotated. The record is from RefSeq and is a predicted model, not a curated record. NCBI's taxonomy places the organism in Eukaryota, Metazoa, Chordata, Mammalia, Rodentia, Sciuridae.